This 253-nucleotide ribosomal RNA is filed under the name uncultured bacterium. Its description in RNAcentral is "partial 16S ribosomal RNA". It matches the Rfam family "Bacterial small subunit ribosomal RNA", at positions 524 to 776 of the family's 1533-position model. The record is from RNAcentral.
UACGUAGGGUGCGAGCGUUAAUCGGAAUUACUGGGCGUAAAGCGUGCGCAGGCGGCUUUGUAAGCCCGAUGUGAAAUCCCCGGGCUUAACCUGGGAAUGGCAUUUGGGACUGCAAGGCUCGAGUGCGGCAGAGGAGACUGGAAUUCCUGGUGUAGCAGUGAAAUGCGUAGAUAUCAGGAGGAACACCGAUGGCGAAGGCAGGUCUCUGGGCUGACACUGACGCUCAUGCACGAAAGCGUGGGGAGCAAACAGG